GCUUCUAUAGCUCAGGCGGCAGAGCGCAUCCUUGGUAAGGAUGAGGUCACCAGUUCGAAUCUGGUUAGAAGCUCCA
Molecule: transfer RNA, 76 nt
Filed under: Oscillospiraceae bacterium
Lineage: Bacteria; Bacillati; Bacillota; Clostridia; Eubacteriales; Oscillospiraceae
Description: tRNA-Thr
Rfam family: tRNA
About the family: Transfer RNA (tRNA) molecules are approximately 80 nucleotides in length. Their secondary structure includes four short double-helical elements and three loops (D, anti-codon, and T loops).
Source: RNAcentral